UACGGGGGGGGCAAGCGUUGUUCGGAAUUACUGGGCGUAAAGGACUCGUAGGUGGCCAACUAAGUCGGACGUGAAAUCCCUCGGCUUAACCGGGGAACUGCGUCCGAUACUGGAUGGCUUGAGUUUGGGAGAGGGAUGCGGAAUUCCAGGUGUAGCGGUGAAAUGCGUAGAUAUCUGGAGGAACACCGGUGGCGAAGGCGGCAUCCUGGACCAAUACUGACGCUGAGGAGCGAAAGCCAGGGGAGCAAACGGG
This 253-nucleotide ribosomal RNA is filed under the name uncultured bacterium. RNAcentral's name for it is "partial 16S ribosomal RNA". It matches the Rfam family "Bacterial small subunit ribosomal RNA", at positions 524 to 776 of the family's 1533-position model. The record is from RNAcentral.